RNAcentral lists this transfer RNA (67 nucleotides) under Bolinus brandaris (purple dye murex). Its description in RNAcentral is "tRNA-Asn". Lineage: Eukaryota; Metazoa; Mollusca; Gastropoda; Neogastropoda; Muricidae. The record is from RNAcentral.
UAAAUGAAAGCCAAAGUAGAGGCGCCUAUCUGUUAAUUAGGAAAAUGUAGAUUAUCUACUCAUUUAG